RNAcentral lists this long non-coding RNA (355 nucleotides) under Setaria viridis. RNAcentral's name for it is "long non-coding RNA (SVIR_LNC003097)". The record is from RNAcentral. Lineage: Eukaryota; Viridiplantae; Streptophyta; Magnoliopsida; Poales; Poaceae.
AUAACUAGAGUUCUAUCAUCAGUUUAGUUCUACAAACUGUACAGAAUGAUUUUCAACAUUAUCAUAUGUUACUGUGAAUUUAUCAGGAUUAUGAGUACGAAAACUAUUUAUUCCACAAGAAGGAAACAUGCAUUUUGAUAAGCAAGAAAAAUACAUAUUGCACAAAACAAGUAUUUUUACAAGUCAGAUAUGAGCAUCAUGAAACUAACACAAUUUAUUUUGCAUUUUUAUCAUUUUUCUACAAUUUAUAUGGAUUUAAAAAGUUUCAGCGAUUUCUAUGCAUUUUAUUCACACUUAAAUUUUUCUCUUUUAUAGAACGACCCUUAGAACUUUUCAAGGUUUACAACUAUGCCCC